Molecule: long non-coding RNA, 737 nt
Organism: Acanthopagrus latus (yellowfin seabream)
Lineage: Eukaryota; Metazoa; Chordata; Actinopteri; Spariformes; Sparidae
Exons: 2
Source: RefSeq, a predicted model, not a curated record
AUUGUGUCAAGCGAAGAAGACGCACCUUGUCAAAACGGUUAAGAUUUUUACAAGCCUUUUCCUAGAUAUACCGGUUUAAGCUGUGUAAACGCACAUGCGUGCAAUUUAAAUAUAUCUCGACCAGUAUAAUCCAAGGUUACUUAACAAAACAGGUUACAAAAGUUAAUUUUCGCGUAGUUAACUUGAAUUAAGUUAGUUACUAGCUUAAUUUGACACACCGGAAAUACGUUAGCCGGCUAACGGCCGCGCUGCUUUAAAAUGGAAAUUCUGAAUAGUGGAUUCAGGAGAAAACCGACGUAUCAAAUAAUGAAUCAGAAGAUAUUUGGGCAGCUCUGGCAGAUUUUUGGAAGAGGAAGAACUAGCUAUGUGUGGCUGAACAGACACCACUUGCCAUGGUUAAAGUUAGCUUAACUGACUGUGGAGGAGCAUUAAAUAUGGGAGAAAUACAGUUGGACUUUAUGGAGGAAGACGACUGGGAACUGCGGCCGCUGUUAGCACCACCUGAACCAGGUUGUCCCGUGGAUUUAUUCCCCAUGUAGACCUACAACCGGUAAAUCUGUGUCUUGUUGAAGAUGAAAGGACUGUGGCCUUUUCAGCAGACAGAACAGUGCCUUGUCUCCUCCUCUCCUCCCUGUUUCCUCUGCUCUCCAAAGCCACACCACCACACACAUAGCCUGCACGGGUGGGGUUCUCUGUGACUUUACUACAAUGAAAAUAAAGUCUUGGCUGCUACUAUU